GGACUACCCGGGUAUCUAAUCCUGUUCGCUCCCCACGCUUUCGCUCCUCAGCGUCAGUACCGGCCCAGACCACCGCCUUCGCCACCGGUGUUCCUCCUGAUAUCUGCGCAUUUCACCGCUACACCAGGAAUUCCGUGGUCCCCUACCGGACUCAAGCCAUGGCAGUAUCGGGUGGCGUCUCCAGGUUGAGCCUGGAGUUUUCACACCCGACUUGCCAAGCCGCCUACGAGCUCUUUACGCCCAAUGAAUCCGGACAACGCUCGCCCCCUACGUAUUACCGCGGCGGCUGGCAC
Molecule: ribosomal RNA, 293 nt
Filed under: uncultured bacterium
Lineage: Bacteria
Description: partial 16S ribosomal RNA
Source: RNAcentral